GUUUUAAUACGUUGAGAGGAAUGGAGAAAAAGAAAGCGCGAGACAGACAGAGAUAAAGGAGAGAUAAAGACAGAGAGAGAGAGAGUCAGAAGAAGAGAGACAAGAGAAAAAAGUGAAAGAACGAGGACUGCGACGAAGAAUGUUUUCUUUUUCUUUUCAAUCUUCACUUCGUCGAACAAUCGUUCUAUCAAUCAUCGAAAGAAAAAGAAAAUAUAUGAUAUAUGAUACAUUUCUUUCGUCGAUCGCUGCACGAACAUCCUCGUAUUUUUAUUCGUUUCAAAUUCCUGGCUAUAUUUCCACGGUGCUUCUUCGACGAUUUGUUCGUUUUCACGUUUCUUCGUUUUCCGUUUCGAGAAAGUGCAAAGAACUUCCUUGGCAAGUCUUCCGGUAAUAACCGUGUCUCAAAUCGGUCGACUUUUGUCUAUUUGUAUUUCCUAACGUACUUUCUUACUCUUCUUUUCUUUCUUUUUUUUUUUUUUUUUUGUUUCUUCUCUUUUCGGCUACUGUUUUCCCUUUACUUUAGUUCUUCGUUGAAUUUCCUUGUCACUUGCUUCUAAUCGAGCAAGCUCGUACUCGCUUCAUUAAGUACCUAAUAAUGAGUGGCACGAUUAAUUUGUACAAAUUGCCUAAAGGAUGGCGCGCGUAUUGAAAAACUUCAGGACUAACUUUUAUUUACUUUAUUCGAGCAUUUUUCCCUUUCUUAAG
This 705-nucleotide unclassified non-coding RNA is filed under the name Bombus terrestris (buff-tailed bumblebee). RNAcentral describes it as "misc RNA ENSBTSG00005036838.1". The record is from RNAcentral. Lineage: Eukaryota; Metazoa; Arthropoda; Insecta; Hymenoptera; Apidae.